This 345-nucleotide ribosomal RNA is filed under the name Triticum aestivum (bread wheat). RNAcentral's name for it is "partial small subunit ribosomal RNA". Lineage: Eukaryota; Viridiplantae; Streptophyta; Magnoliopsida; Poales; Poaceae. The record is from RNAcentral.
AUGCCCCUCGCACGCCAGAGAAUCGAACGACAAAAAACCUACGAAGAAAAACCAACGAAAAAACGCCAGAGAAUCGAACGACAAAAAACCUACGAAGAAAAACCAACGAAAAAAAACCCUCGAGCUCCGACGGGAACGAGGCUCCCCUUGAUCUCAAACAACGCUAGGGUUUGCCCAGCCGCCACGCUCCGCGCUGCCGCCCAAGGCCCGCUCCGCCCCCACCGCUCCCCGCAACGCCACUGCCGGAGGGCCGGCCGGCGAAGCCGCGCCGCGCCCAGGGACGGCAGCGUUGGGGCGGUUCCGUCUCCCUACCUCCUGCCAGAGCCCCCACCCCACCAUACGUAG